GGAGACAGGUGGUGCAUGGUUGUCGUCAGCUCGUGUCGUGAGAUGUUGGGUUAAGUCCCGCAACGAGCGCAACCCUUGAUCUUAGUUGCCAGCACUUCGGGUGGGCACUCUAGGAUGACUGCCGGUGACAAACCGGAGGAAGGUGGGGAUGACGUCAAAUCAUCAUGCCCCUUAUGACCUGGGCUACACACGUACUACAAUGGUCGGUACAACGGGAAGCGAAGCCGCGAGGUGGAGCCAAUCCUUAUAAGCCGAUCUCAGUUCGGAUUGCAGGCUGCAACUCGCCUGCAUGAAGUCGGAAUUGCUAGUAAUCGCGGAUCAGCAUGCCGCGGUGAAUACGUUCCCGGGUCUUGUACACACCGCCCGUCACACCACGAGAGUUUACAACACCCGAAGUCGGUGGGGUAACCCGCAAGGGAGCCAGCCGCCGAAGGUGGGGUAGAUGAUUGGGGUGAAGUCGUAACAAGGUAGCCGUAUCGGAAGGUGCGGCUGGAUCACCUCCUUUCUAUGGAGA
Molecule: ribosomal RNA, 514 nt
Filed under: Paenibacillus oryzisoli
Lineage: Bacteria; Bacillati; Bacillota; Bacilli; Caryophanales; Paenibacillaceae
Description: bacterial SSU rRNA
Rfam family: Bacterial small subunit ribosomal RNA
Source: RNAcentral